Molecule: unclassified non-coding RNA, 142 nt
Filed under: uncultured Helotiales
Lineage: Eukaryota; Fungi; Ascomycota; Leotiomycetes; Helotiales
Description: sequence contains ITS2
Source: RNAcentral
CAACCCUCAAGCUCUGCUUGGUAUUGGGUCUCACCGCACGGUGGGCCUUAAAAUCAGUGGCGGUGCCAUCUUGGCUCUAAGCGUAGUAAAUCUCUCGCUCUGGGACCUCGGUGGUGCUUGCCAGCAACCCCAAAUUUUCUAU